GAUGAACGCUGGCGGCGUGCCUAAUACAUGCAAGUCGAGCGAACGGACGAGAAGCUUGCUUCUCUGAUGUUAGCGGCGGACGGGUGAGUAACACGUGGAUAACCUACCUAUAAGACUGGGAUAACUUCGGGAAACCGUAGCUAAUACCGGAUAAUAUUUUGAACCGCAUGGUUCAAAAGUGAAAGACGGUCUUGCUGUCACUUAUAGAUGGAUCCGCGCUGCAUUAGCUAGUUGGUAAGGUAACGGCUUACCAAGGCAACGAUGCAUAGCCGACCUGAGAGGGGGAUCGGCACACCGGAAACGAGAAACGGUCCCAACUCCUCAGGGGAGGAGCCGUAGGGAAACUUCCGCAAAGGGCGAAAGCCUGGAGGGGCAACGCCGGGGGAGGGAUGAAGGGCUUCCGAUCGUAAAACCCUUUUAUUAGGGAAAAAAAUAUGGGUAAGUAACCGUGCACAUUUUGACGGUACCUAAUCAAAAAGCCACCGCUAAACACGUG
Molecule: ribosomal RNA, 496 nt
Filed under: uncultured bacterium
Lineage: Bacteria
Description: partial 16S ribosomal RNA
Rfam family: Bacterial small subunit ribosomal RNA
Source: RNAcentral